GUCCAAAAGCCCAAAUUGUGAAGAUGGUGUUCACCCCCAUGUGGCGUCCGCCAUGGGGUCUAAAGGUGAAAACACAGACAGAACAAAAAAACCCAAUUUUUCCCAAAUUCAACUCAUCUUCAACCUCUUACAACCCAUUUUCUCUCAUCUUUAACCCACAUAAAAUCCCACUCACCCAUAUUCACUCAUAAAAACUCUAAUACCCACUACCUUGCCCACUAAUCC
RNAcentral lists this long non-coding RNA (225 nucleotides) under Lathyrus oleraceus (garden pea). Its description in RNAcentral is "Pisum sativum (pea) long non-coding RNA (PSAT_LNC030921)". Lineage: Eukaryota; Viridiplantae; Streptophyta; Magnoliopsida; Fabales; Fabaceae. The record is from RNAcentral.